UCAGUCAAUAGAGGCGCGGAGGACAGGGUACUGCAUAUUUGGGGACAGGCACCCGGUAAAUUUGCAGGAAGGGGUCUUCCGCCGAAGGGGCCGGACGGGUCUGUGCGUAUGGUUCCUGGCAGCGCGGUGUAAGCGGCGCUGCUGUCAUGUAGUGAUACAUGGAGCGCUAUUGGUCAA
Firmicutes bacterium CAG:176 is the source of this 177-nucleotide regulatory RNA element. It matches the Rfam family "Lysine riboswitch aptamer". Rfam says of the family: Riboswitches are metabolite binding domains within certain messenger RNAs that serve as precision sensors for their corresponding targets. Allosteric rearrangement of mRNA structure is mediated by ligand binding, and this results in modulation of gene expression. Lineage: Bacteria; Bacillati; Bacillota. The record is from Rfam.